Felis catus (domestic cat) is the source of this 2137-nucleotide long non-coding RNA. RefSeq lists it as uncharacterized. The record is from RefSeq and is a predicted model, not a curated record. The transcript has 4 exons. Lineage: Eukaryota; Metazoa; Chordata; Mammalia; Carnivora; Felidae.
UCAACCAGAACCCUAACUGCUGCUGUAGCCCCUACCCUGUCAUCACUAGGAAGGUUGUGAACCAAUCAUCUCACCUGUGGGUCCUCCCCCAGACUGUGAACAUCCUUUCAAUUCUAAGGAAAGAAGAAGGACUCCCCCACCUCCAAGAGCACGGAGUGGACAGGUUAUGAGCAAUGGAAAGAGAGCCGGUGUUGCGUCCACGUCUUGUGCAGAAAACAAAGAAGCCCAAGAACAAGAGCCUUCCUUAUUCUGGCUCUCCUGAAAGCCAGCUUUUGCGUGCACGUAUCUGCAUUUCCCCAGGGCAGGUGCCUAGGGGCUCAGCCACUGUGCGUCUUCUGAAUGCCCUAAGGAUGUCCACCACCAAUUAGGUUCCCAUCCUAGACUGCGGCCGGCGGCCGGUGCCCCAUCGACCAGCCAGGCAAGAGAUCUUCCGUGAUUGCCAGCCACGUUUUGUUGGGAAUUUCGCCGCAUCUUUCCUGUGGCCCACGCAGGAGAAAAAUGAACGCUCAGACGAUAGUCUCGCGCCCAACCCCGUGCCAGGAUUGAAGGCGGAGAACCCAGUCCUGCCCUCAAAACCGCAAACUCGAGCAGGCAGGAGAGGCCGUGGCCGGACCUUGCUGACGCAGGAGCAGAGUGCGGCCCUGGAGUCACGUGGGGGAGGCCGGUCACUCUCGUCCCCUCUCCUUGGAGAAAGCAGGUCAGGGGAGCAGCCUCGCUUUCAGUCUGCUGUUACCUCGCUCUGCAGGCUCUCUGAAGGCCUCCUGGUCACCCUGCCAGUGAAGGAGGGAUCCCGACCCAAAGCAGACCCACGGCGCUAACAGCAGACAGCGGAGACGGACGGCAGCUUCCAGCGGCCACACGCAUCACAGGCCAGCAGGAAGACCUGGCCACAUGGGGCUCCUGGGGCGGCCCACAGGAGCAGCCAACCAGCACGGGGUGAAGGCUGUGAGGCUGAGGGCUGGGCGGGGGCGGCUGUCCAGCCAGGGGGCUAGCAUGUGGGGGCCUCCCUGCCGGGCGGUGGGCACACAUGUGUGCCAAGAGCAGGGAAGCCCAGAGCUGGGCCACUGCGACCCAGAGAUGACAAGACAGCACAGGAGUCUUUAGGUCUUCUGUCAUCGGGGCUUUUCGGCUAAUCCCUGGAGGGUCAGCUGCCCUGGAGCUGCGGUGACAGCCUCGCCCACCAGCCCGGUCGGGAAGGGGUCAUGGGUGAUGAUCCCAACACAGGAGGGCCGGGAGGAACGUUUCCCCUCCCAGACACCUCCAGAGGCCACCCUGGGCCUGCCCAGGACACUGUUUUGCUCCAACGUUUAGAAUCCCCCCCUGAUGGGACCUUUGGUUUUCUGGCAUUGCCCUGUGUUUAACCCUCUGGACUGGGUGGCCGCAUGCAUUUCUCUAGAAUCCCUCUGUCCCCUACUGGCCACCGUCCACCCUGUGUCAAAUCAACUCCCUGGGUCCCAGCUCAGGCAGCCCCCAUCCUCCUCAGCCCAGGGCUGGUGCUGCCUUCUUGCCCCACCUCUGCCUGGGCUUGCGGGCAGCUGUCCAGUGGAGUCCCUGCUCACCCCCCUCAGCUGGGGUCUCCGGGCUCCCCACCCGCACAGCCCGUCCUGAGUUUGUUCCCUGCCCGGUGUGGCCAAGGAGCUCCGGCCCAUAUGGGAACAGGGACCUGAGGACCCAUCCUGCUUGGGCACAUCUGUCUUCAGUGACAGUAAGAUUCCUUCCUGCACAAGCCCGCACCACUGUGUGCCCUGUGCACCACUGUCCAGCCCAGGCUGGAGCUCGAGGGCCUUUUCCAUGGGAGCCCUGCCACCCCCCCACCACACCCCGGCUGGCUCUACUCUCUCUGACAUUCCAAGGAUGCCUUCCUGGGCGGGAAUUCCUGACCCACAGAGAUGGUCUUGAUGACCAAACACGGGCCCUUCUCCACAGAGGUGGGGAAUGCUCUUUGCCAAUGUGUUUAGAAGAACAGGAUUUGUCUUGGGGACAAAAGUUCAAGGGUGUUUAUUCAUUCGACUGGUAUGUAUUAACCACCAUAUGCCAUGCACUGUCCUAAAUUCUGGGAAAAUAAACGUUUAAAAAGAGAGAAAGAGAGAGAGAGAGAGGGGGGCACCUGGGAGGCUCAGUCGGUUAAGCAUCCGAC